AUUGAACGCUGGCGGCAUGCCUUACACAUGCAAGUCGAACGGCAGCACGGGUGCUUGCACCUGGUGGCGAGUGGCGAACGGGUGAGUAAUACAUCGGAACGUACCUUAUCGUGGGGGAUAACGCAGCGAAAGUUGCGCUAAUACCGCAUACGCCCUGAGGGGGAAAGCGGGGGACCGUAAGGCCUCGCGCGAUUAGAGCGGCCGAUGUCUGAUUAGCUUGUUGGUGAGGUAAAAGCUCACCAAGGCGCUGAACAGUAGCUGGUCUGAGAGGAGGUUCAGGCACACUGGAACUGAGACACGGCCCAGACUCCUACGGGAGGCAGCAGGGGGGAAAUUUGGACAAUGGGGGCAACCCUGAUCCAGCAAUGCCGCGUGAGUGAAGAAGGCCUUCGGGUUGUAAAGCUCUUUUGUCAGGGAAGAAACAGCAGCUCUAACACAGUCUGCGAAUGACGGUACCUGAAGAAUAAGCACCGGCUAACUACGUGCCAGCAGCCGCAGUAA
Molecule: ribosomal RNA, 501 nt
Filed under: uncultured bacterium
Lineage: Bacteria
Description: partial 16S ribosomal RNA
Rfam family: Bacterial small subunit ribosomal RNA
Source: RNAcentral